RNAcentral lists this transfer RNA (67 nucleotides) under Anolis chlorocyanus (Northern Hispaniolan green anole). Its description in RNAcentral is "tRNA-Tyr". The record is from RNAcentral. Lineage: Eukaryota; Metazoa; Chordata; Lepidosauria; Squamata; Anolidae.
GGAAAAGAGGGGAGUCUAACCCCUAUUAGUGGAUUUACAGUCCAUCGCCUAGCAUUCGGCCACUCUA